Pteropus alecto (black flying fox) is the source of this 623-nucleotide long non-coding RNA. RefSeq lists it as uncharacterized. Lineage: Eukaryota; Metazoa; Chordata; Mammalia; Chiroptera; Pteropodidae. The record is from RefSeq and is a predicted model, not a curated record. The transcript has 2 exons.
AAGAAAAAAUAGUUUUGGGAAACUUUGGAUUCUCAGGAGCAGGUUAAAAACAGAGUAACUGAGAGCUUACUAUGUGCCAGAGACUGUUCAAGGCAGUGGCACUUAGGAUGCAUUAGUAAAAACAUUCCUGAAGGAAAAAAAUUUUAGAGGACAGACCUUCAUUUAUGAAUGGGGGCCAGACAACACCCAGUGCCUUGCACAGCACUCAGAACUGGCUGAUUUAGAGUUUUAAAUGCUCUUCUAAUUCACUAAUUAAUGAAUGGAAUGGGGGGGGCGGGGGCACGGAGAUCCAUCUUCAGAAGAAAAUUCUUGGCUGAAUGAAAGAUUCUAGUGCAUAUAGGCUCGGUAGGUUCUGGUAGCACCCAACUAGAAUCUGGUAGCACCCAACUAGAACCUGAUGUAUAAUUGUACCUUUGUUCAUUUAAUUCCCCGGGGAUUCCAUUUCGAGCACAUGGUAAAGGAGGGAACAUUUUGAUACUGUGGAAGGCCCUCUUCAUUUGCAUGCACAAUUUGUUCUGUACUUUACCGGCCCUAUUAAGGGCUUUUCAUGAGUAAUUCUGACAACAGGUUUUUUCCCCCUGUGAUGUCAACGUGACCAGUCAAACAAUUUACUCGGAACUGUA